CGAAAGGUAUGCUAAUACGGGAUAAUAUAUUUGAGAGGCAUCUCUUGAAUAUCAAAGGUGAGCCAGUACAGGAUGGACCCGCGUCUGAUUAGCUAGUUGGUAAGGUAACGGCUUACCAAGGCGACGAUCAGUAGCCGACCUGAGAGGGUGAUCGGCCACAUUGGAACUGAGACACGGUCCAAACUCCUACGGGAGGCAGCAGUGGGGAAUAUUGCACAAUGGGCGAAAGCCUGAUGCAGCAACGCCGCGUGAGUGAUGAAGGCCUUCGGGUCGUAAAACUCUGUCCUCAAGGAAGAUAAUGACGGUACUUGAGGAGGAAGCCCCGGCUAA
This 330-nucleotide ribosomal RNA is filed under the name Clostridioides difficile. RNAcentral describes it as "bacterial SSU rRNA". It matches the Rfam family "Bacterial small subunit ribosomal RNA", at positions 152 to 500 of the family's 1533-position model. The record is from RNAcentral. Lineage: Bacteria; Bacillati; Bacillota; Clostridia; Peptostreptococcales; Peptostreptococcaceae.